Long non-coding RNA from Carassius carassius (crucian carp), 943 nucleotides. RefSeq lists it as uncharacterized. Lineage: Eukaryota; Metazoa; Chordata; Actinopteri; Cypriniformes; Cyprinidae. The transcript has 3 exons. The record is from RefSeq and is a predicted model, not a curated record.
CCGUUUGACCAGUGAGUGUGGAACUUGAGCACGUCAUUUUCGCGGUAAUAUCUCGCAACAACAGCGCUCUGCAGAAGAAAAAAUACUCUCGAGAAGGGUUAUGAAAAUGUGUGUUAAACAUGGCAACGUACGUCUUUAACCUUUUUAGCACUGUAUUGGACCUCCUUGAAGGCAAAGGAGCGAGAGGGGAAAACUUUAAAAGAGCAUGUGGAUCAAGAUUAUGAAAAAACUUUAAGUUAAGCAUUUAUAAGAUGGAGCACUGGCCCCCUGGAAAUCUUUGUUGCUCCAGCCACAUCUGUUGCAAAUUCCUGAGAGGGGUUGAUGUCAAUGUUCCCCCAGCCAAUAUCAAGACUAUUAUUUUCAGGAACCUGUUGGUUCCCAGAUCACCCAGAACGAUUAAUUUACCAAGUGGAGAGAUCCAGUUGCAGCUGUUCUCGACUCACUGAAGUGAGCCUUCAAGCAAUGUGACGCAUCUCUGAUAAUAUAGAAUAUAAAUAAGCCUUAGAAUUAAUAUAUAAAUAUUAAAUAUUAAAAUAUUAAAAUAGGCUACAUAAGAGCUUAGAGUUCACAUGCACUGACAUGGCUAGAUGUUUUCUUGUGGUUGUCCUCUUGCACGGACAGCUCUUUUCACCUUGCUGUGAAAUUUGUAGUGGUUUCACUGGAUAUAUUACACAUUCUACGACUUUUUCAAUCUGUUAAUCCUUAGCAGUUUUUUGAGAGAAGAGAAUAACAGUUAAAAGGCAUAUGAUUUGCUGUUCUUUACUGAUGUCACGCUUUUAAGUGCAUACGCUCCAUAAACUCAAAGCCUGAGAUGACAGAGAAAGUUGUUGAUCAGCAUCAUGGUACCAUCAAAGCAGCAUUGGAUUGGAUUGGUUUUGUCAACUCAGAAAUAAUUCUGUAACCCUGAGUUUGUUCAGCCACCAUCAUGGUACAAGCCCCCUGG